Molecule: ribosomal RNA, 404 nt
Filed under: uncultured bacterium
Lineage: Bacteria
Description: partial 16S ribosomal RNA
Rfam family: Bacterial small subunit ribosomal RNA
Source: RNAcentral
GAUGAACGCUGACAGCAUGCUUAACACAUGCAAGUCAACCGCGGCGGACUGGUGAGUCACGCGUAAAGAUCUUGCCUAACAGUUAGGCACAACGUGUGGAAUCGAAUGCUAAUACGUGCUACUGUGAGCGAGCUUUGCGUCACAUUAGCUAGUUGGAGAGGUAACGGCUCACCAAGGCGAGGAUGGGUAGCCGGCCUGACAGGGCGAUCGGCCACAAGGGGACAGGGAAACGACCCUUACGCCUACGGGGGGAAGCAGUGGGGAAUAUUUGACAAUAGACCAAAGUCUGAUGCAGCUAUUCGGUGUGCACGAUGAAGUUUUCGGGAUGUAAAGUACUUUGAGUUGAGAAGCGGUACCAACAGAAGAAGUGACGGCUAAAUACGUGCCAGCAGCCGCGGUAAUUC